RNAcentral lists this ribosomal RNA (426 nucleotides) under uncultured prokaryote. RNAcentral describes it as "bacterial SSU rRNA". It matches the Rfam family "Bacterial small subunit ribosomal RNA", at positions 959 to 1384 of the family's 1533-position model. The record is from RNAcentral.
ACGCGAAGAACCUUACCUACUCUUGACAUCCAGAGAACUUUCCAGAGAUGGAUUGGUGCCUUCGGGAACUCUGAGACAGGUGCCGCAUGGCUGUCGUCAGCUCGUGUUGUGAAAUGUUGGGUUAAGUCCCGCAACGAGCGCAACCCUUAUCCUUUGUUGCCAGCGGGUUAAGCCGGGAACUUUAAGGAUACUGCCAGUGACAAACUGGAGGAAGGCGGGGACGACGUCAAGUCAUCAUGGCCCUUACGACCAGGGCUACACACGUGCUACAAUGGUCGGUACAAAGGGUUGCUACCUAGCGAUAGGAUGCUAAUCUCAAAAAGCCGAUCGUAGUCCGGAUUGGAGUCUGCAACUCGACUCCAUGAAGUCGGAAUCGCUAGUAAUCGCGGAUCAGAAUGCCGCGGUGAAUACGUUCCCGGGUCUUGU